UACCAGCAUCGUCCAUCGAAUAAAGUCACCCAUCAUGUGAGAUCAGUGGCAGAAGUCAAUUUUCUUCACUUUUCUGACUUUUCUGCACGCAGCUAGUGCUGUGUGGUUUUGGGCACGACGGAUCGGAACCUGCUACACAAGUGAAGGAGAACAGCCGACGAGCAGAAGCAGGUCACCCAGCCUACUGUGACUCCAGUAAUCCUUGAUUUCUCCGUUUGUACGAUCGCAGCGCAGCGAAAAAACCUCUGGCAAAAUGGCCCUGAGCGACGCAGAUGUCCAGAAGCAGGUGAGUCGGAUUUAAGAUACGGUUCUAGGGUUUACUCCAGGACUCAUUCUGGUUGCAUAACAUCGUCUCUAGGGCAGUGCCUCGAGAAAGAAAUCAACCUGGGAAAUUUAUUCCGAAUAUUUUCCUCUAAUGGGAAAUGGAGCUCGAAAUCCUGCUCAAGUGACAUUUUUCUUGCUUUCGAGUGAUGAGUGCUUUAUCGAUUAGAUUUUAAGAUGCUUCGGAAGUCGGUGCAUCGGAUAUCGGUUUCUAAACAGAAAUCGCUGGAAUAAAUCUUUCAAUGGCUCUAAAAGUGUAAUUUCGAAGUUCCCGAUCGGUUGAUGCUGGUCACGGGACCGAUGAUGGUCAUGUGAAAUAUGUGCCCCUCUCCUAUUGAGUGUAGUGGUGUUGAAUAACGACGAUGAGAAGUGAUAAAAAUACAAUGAUCACUCAUUUCAAUAACAUAGGGCUUAAUUUUUGUGGAAAACUGCACAGAUUCCUUUACAAAAAUCUCGUUAGCAGCGAAAAAAUAUUCAAAUUUGAACAAUUUAAAGGUGAUGUCUGUUCUUUGAACCAUCCCAGAUGUCAGUUCAAAUUUCAAUUUCGGCAAAAAAAAAGUGUCACAUGACUGCACUUAUACGAGUCGCAACCAGUGACUUAAGCUGCUCACAUGCGUAUAUGGACAAAACACCAACACGUUUAGAUGUUUUUUUUUUAAUAUUUCAAUACCAAAAUGUUGAGUACGGACGUCUUUAAAAUAAAAUUACUUUCAAAAUAUGGUUACAAAAGGCUAUUGAAGAAUCAUUGCAUCUUUUGAUUGAAUAUUCAAUCAAUGUUCUUGGCUCGACCCUUAGAAGUUUUUUUGAUUAAUUAAAUCAAAUCAUAUUUCCCGCAGUAGUGAUUUCAACUACAUACAGAUAUUUAAAAAAAUCAGAUUAUGUUUUCUACUAUCUAGCAUCUCCGAAACAAAAGCAAGAAGAUAUUUCGCUUUAAAUAUACGAGCUAAAUUAUACCUUCCAUUUACAAAAGCUCUAAAGCAAGCACUGUGCACUGUUUGCGUUGGUCACAAAAAUUGUGUUUUGUAGGUUCCAAUAUUUGUUAUUAGUUGAAGAGAAUUAUGGUUUU
Molecule: long non-coding RNA, 1387 nt
Organism: Uranotaenia lowii
Lineage: Eukaryota; Metazoa; Arthropoda; Insecta; Diptera; Culicidae
Exons: 3
Source: RefSeq, a predicted model, not a curated record